This 741-nucleotide ribosomal RNA is filed under the name Pseudomonas abyssi. RNAcentral's name for it is "bacterial SSU rRNA". It matches the Rfam family "Bacterial small subunit ribosomal RNA", at positions 1 to 736 of the family's 1533-position model. The record is from RNAcentral. Lineage: Bacteria; Pseudomonadati; Pseudomonadota; Gammaproteobacteria; Pseudomonadales; Pseudomonadaceae.
AACUGAAGAGUUUGAUCAUGGCUCAGAUUGAACGCUGGCGGCAGGCCUAACACAUGCAAGUCGAGCGGUAGAGAAGGAGCUUGCUUCUUCUUGAGAGCGGCGGACGGGUGAGUAAUGCCUAGGAAUCUGCCUGGUAGUGGGGGACAACGUUUCGAAAGGAACGCUAAUACCGCAUACGUCCUACGGGAGAAAGUGGGGGAUCUUCGGACCUCACGCUAUCAGAUGAGCCUAGGUCGGAUUAGCUUGUAGGUGAGGUAAUGGCUCACCUAGGCAACGAUCCGUAACUGGUCUGAGAGGAUGAUCAGUCACACUGGAACUGAGACACGGUCCAGACUCCUACGGGAGGCAGCAGUGGGGAAUAUUGGACAAUGGGCGAAAGCCUGAUCCAGCCAUGCCGCGUGUGUGAAGAAGGUCUUCGGAUUGUAAAGCACUUUAAGUUGGGAGGAAGGGUUGUAGCUUAAUACGCUGCAACCUUGACGUUACCAACAGAAUAAGCACCGGCUAACUCUGUGCCAGCAGCCGCGGUAAUACAGAGGGUGCAAGCGUUAAUCGGAAUUACUGGGCGUAAAGCGCGCGUAGGCGGCUUGAUAAGAUGGGUGUGAAAUCCCCGGGCUUAACCUGGGAACUGCAUCCAUAACUGUCUGGCUAGAGUACAGUAGAGGGUGGUGGAAUUUCCUGUGUAGCGGUGAAAUGCGUAGAUAUAGGAAGGAACACCAGUGGCGAAGGCGACCACCUGGACUG